GACGAACGCUGGCGGCGUGCUUAACACAUGCAAGUCGAACGCUGAAGCUCAGCUUUUGUUGGGUGGAUGAGUGGCGAACGGGUGAGUAACACGUGAGUAACCUGCCCCCUUCUUUGGGAUAACGCCCGGAAACGGGUGCUAAUACUGGAUAUUCACUGGUCUUCGCAUGGGGGUUGGUGGAAAGGGUUUUUCUGGUGGGGGAUGGGCUCGCGGCCUAUCAGCUUGUUGGUGGGGUGAUGGCCUACCAAGGCUUUGACGGGUAGCCGGCCUGAGAGGGUGACCGGUCACAUUGGGACUGAGAUACGGCCCAGACUCCUACGGGAGGCAGCAGUGGGGAAUAUUGCACAAUGGGCGCAAGCCUGAUGCAGCGACGCCGCGUGAGGGAUGGAGGCCUUCGGGUUGUGAACCUCUUUCGCUCAUGGUCAAGUCGCAACAAUGGUUGUGGUGAGGGUAGUGGGUAAAGAAGCGCCGGCUAACUACGUG
RNAcentral lists this ribosomal RNA (483 nucleotides) under uncultured bacterium. RNAcentral describes it as "partial 16S ribosomal RNA". It matches the Rfam family "Bacterial small subunit ribosomal RNA", at positions 28 to 507 of the family's 1533-position model. The record is from RNAcentral.